RNAcentral lists this ribosomal RNA (303 nucleotides) under uncultured bacterium. RNAcentral's name for it is "partial 16S ribosomal RNA". It matches the Rfam family "Bacterial small subunit ribosomal RNA", at positions 507 to 807 of the family's 1533-position model. The record is from RNAcentral.
AGCAGUCGCCGCGGUAAUACGAAGGGGGCUAGCGUUGUUCGGAAUUACUGGGCGUAAAGCGCACGUAGGCGGAUAUUUAAGUCAGGGGUGAAAUCCCAGAGCUCAACUCUGGAACUGCCUUUGAUACUGGGUAUCUUGAGUAUGGAAGAGGUGAGUGGAAUUCCGAGUGUAGAGGUGAAAUUUGUAGAUAUUCGGAGGAACACCAGUGGCGAAGGCGGCUCACUGGUCCAUUACUGACGCUGAGGUGCGAAAGCGUGGGGAGCAAACAGGAUUAGAUACCCCGGUAGUCCCUGUCUCUUAUAC